GAAUCUCGUAGUCGGGGGUGUCACCAU
Molecule: small RNA, 27 nt
Filed under: Bombyx mori (domestic silkworm)
Lineage: Eukaryota; Metazoa; Arthropoda; Insecta; Lepidoptera; Bombycidae
Description: ovarian small RNA-15298
Source: RNAcentral